Molecule: long non-coding RNA, 1799 nt
Organism: Rosa chinensis
Lineage: Eukaryota; Viridiplantae; Streptophyta; Magnoliopsida; Rosales; Rosaceae
Exons: 3
Source: RefSeq, a predicted model, not a curated record
UACCCAGAAAAUUCCAGAUUUGCUUCUCCCGCCGACCUAACUUCCCGACGUCACUACCGCUUCGUCCGACCACCUAUGGCCAUAAAAUUAGUACCUAUCUCUUCGUCUUGAAACAAGCUUUCCAUUAAUAUAUCCCUUGCAUCCUAUCAUGCACUAUAGACGACGAAUCGAAGCCAAGAAGUUUAUUGUAGCAAAUUGGGAUUUUUUGCCUAUUUCUUCAAAUCCCGGCCAAAUCUGGCCAAAUCGGAUGUUGAGGCUAACUGGGCUUUGUUCCUCUUGCCAUGUUCUACCAACCUACCAAGUUUCAUCAUCAAAUUUGAGCUGUGGAAGGAGAAUCGGAGAUUUGAGCAAAAUUGAGGGUUUUGUUCCGGUUUUCAGGACGUGAGGAAGAACCACACGGGGAGAAAUUUCAAAUAAACGGCAAGCUUAGCUGUAUAUUUUUGCAGGCGAAAUUAGUUGAGGUCAGGCGUACACGGGUUGAGGCAUAGUUGUCCCUGCUUCCGCAUUGUAGGAUCUAUCGAACUUUCACCCUCUUUACUUUUAUUUCUAUUAUACCUUUUGUUUUAUAAUUGCUCUGAUAACCUGUGGGAUUAAUAUUAUUAAGUUGAGAUUUGUGUAAUGUGAUUUGAAAGAUGUUGUGAAUUAGGGAGCAGGGUGGCUCCAGGAGAAUAAGUAUGGAUUUCUUAGAAGUGUUAAUGUCUUUCUACAUGUUUUUGGGUAGUCCAUUUUUAGGGGGAGUUCUGCCAAAUUUUUAGCAUAAUUUCUUCUAAGGUGGGCCCCGCAGGGCUUCUUCGGAUUUCAGGGUGAAAUCCGGGGCGGGUCCUGUCAUUUCGUCUCUACUUGAAACACUUGAUUCCUUGUCACCCCAUUCUUCACCACAGCUUCUUGUUGAAUUCCAAACUCACUCAAUAACCCAUUAAGCCAUAAUGCUUAUGCAGAAGCUUCUGUUAGUGUCAUGCAAUCUACUUCAGUGGUAGACAACGUCGUAGUUGAUUCCAAAGUUUAUCUACAACUCAUUAAACCUUCACCACAAGUAAAGACAUUACUUGUUGCAGGUCUUCUCUUGUCUAAGUCUCCUGCCAAAUCUGAACCUUCAUGACCAGUAGGGCUGUCAAUGUGUAGUGUCGGGUUGGGUUCGUGUCGGGUCAAGGUAUUUGUCGUGUCGUAAGAUACAAACCCAAACCCAACCCAUUUAAUAAUGGGAAAGGAUCCUCUCCUAAGCUUAUUCCCCUCCUAACCUACCUAAGCUUUUUAUCGGAUGACGACACGUGUCAAGUCUCAUAUCUAAUGGUCUACAUCCAUUCUCAACAUAAAAAGUUAUUGAUUUUACAAAAGAACCCUUUAUAGUUUUUGUCUUAUUCUCCUAUGCCAACUCUGUCUAUCUCCAGUCUUCAACUCUCUCUCUCUCUCUCUCCACCUUCCUCUGUUCUCAACUAUGAACAAUAAUUAAAAUUGUAUGCACCUGGAAAAUGAAGGUAAGAAUCAAAAGAGAUUAAGCACAACUAUCUCAACCCACUCAUCCCUUCUAUCGCCACAACUAUCUCAACCCAAUUUGAUUAAGCAAUCAAAAGAGAUUGAUAAGCAGUCAUUAGAGGAAUUGCAGCAAAUUACAGCGAUGGAAAACUAAAUUAAAACCAAACUAAUUCCAGGUCAAGUUUGGUAAAUUGGUUCCGUCGGAAAACUGGUUAGGUAAUUGGGUAUCGCCGGAAAAUUGAAAUAUCAAAAAUUUUUGUGGCUUUUUUUUAAGGAAUGGGAUUGCAACGUUUUGAUUUUGAGAGAAAGGAACCCAUGUGGGAAGG